AGGAUUAACGCUGGCGGCGUGCCUAACACAUGCAAGUCGAACGAGGUAGCAAUACCUAGUGGCAGACGGGUGAGUAACGCGUGGUCAACCUACCGUUGAGUGGGGGAUAACUAGCCGAAAGGUUAGCUAAUACCGCAUACGUCUCCGAGGGGCAUCCCUUGGCGAUAAAAGGAGCAAUCCGCUCGAUGACGGGACCGCGUCCCAUUAGCUAGAUGGUGGGGUAACGGCCUACCAUGGCACCGAUGGGUAGCUGGUUUGAGAGAGCGACCAGCCACACUGGGACUGAGAAACGGCCCAGACUCCUACGGGAGGCAGCAGUGAGGAAUUUUCCGCAAUGGGCGCAAGCCUGACGGAGCGACGCCGCGUGUGGGAAGAAGGCCUUCGGGUCGUAAACCACUGUCGAAGGGGACGAUAAUGACGGUGCCCUUGGAGGAAGCCCGGCUAACUACGUGCCAGCAGCCGC
This 463-nucleotide ribosomal RNA is filed under the name uncultured bacterium. Its description in RNAcentral is "SSU rRNA". It matches the Rfam family "Bacterial small subunit ribosomal RNA", at positions 26 to 518 of the family's 1533-position model. The record is from RNAcentral.